RNAcentral lists this ribosomal RNA (396 nucleotides) under uncultured bacterium. RNAcentral's name for it is "partial 16S ribosomal RNA". It matches the Rfam family "Bacterial small subunit ribosomal RNA", at positions 523 to 918 of the family's 1533-position model. The record is from RNAcentral.
AUACGUAGGGAGCGAGCGUUGUCCGGAAUUACUGGGUGUAAAGGGAGCGUAGGCGGGAGUGCAAGUCAGAUGUGAAAUACAUGGGCUCAACCCAUGGGCUGCAUUUGAAACUGCAUUUCUUGAGUGAAGUAGAGGUAAGCGGAAUUCCUGGUGUAGCGGUGAAAUGCGUAGAUAUCAGGAGGAACACCGGUGGCGAAGGCGGCUUACUGGGCUGUUACUGACGCUGAGGCUCGAAAGCGUGGGGAGCAAACAGGAUUAGAUACCCUGGUAGUCCACGCUGUAAACGAUGAUUACUAGGUGUGGGGGGACUGACCCCUUCCGUGCCGCAGUUAACACAAUAAGUAAUCCACCUGGGGAGUACGGCCGCAAGGUUGAAACUCAAAUGAAUUGACGGGG